RNAcentral lists this ribosomal RNA (496 nucleotides) under uncultured bacterium. RNAcentral describes it as "partial 16S ribosomal RNA". It matches the Rfam family "Bacterial small subunit ribosomal RNA", at positions 28 to 506 of the family's 1533-position model. The record is from RNAcentral.
GAUGAACGCUGGCGGCGUGCCUAAUACAUGCAAGUCGAGCGAACAGAUGAGGAGCUUGCUCCUCUGACGUUAGCGGCGGACGGGUGAGUAACACGUGGAUAACCUACCUAUAAGACUGGGAUAACUUCGGGAAACCGGAGCUAAUACCGGAUAAUAUAUUGAACCGCAUGGUUCAAUAGUGAAAGACGGUUUUGCUGUCACUUAUAGAUGGAUCCGCGCCGCAUUAGCUAGUUGGUAAGGUAACGGCUUACCAAGGCAACGAUGCGUAGCCGACCUGAGAGGGUGAUCGGCCACACUGGAACUGAGACACGGUCCAGACUCCUACGGGAGGCAGCAGUAGGGAAUCUUCCGCAAUGGGCGAAAGCCUGAAGUAGACACGGCGCGUGAGUGAUGAAGGUCUACGGAGCGUAAAACUCUGUUGUCAGGGAAGAACAAAUGUGUAAGUAACUAUGCACGUAUUGACGGUACCUAAGAAGAAAGCCACGGCUAACUACGU